GCAAGAUACCACGGGCGCACGGCGGAUGCCUUGGCACAGGGAGCCGAUGAAGGACGCGGCAAGCUGCGAUAAUCCCCGGCGAGGAGCACACAUCCUUCGACCCGGGGGUCUCCGAAUGGGCGAACCCAUCCGUAGCAGUACGGAUAUCCCGACCCCGAACACAUAGGGGCCGGGAGGACAACCCGGGGAACUGAAACAUCUAAGUACCCGGAGGAGAGGAAAUCAAUCUCGAGACUCCCCGAGUAGCGGCGAGCGAAAGGGGACCGAUGGCCAAACCGUCGAGCGGGCAUACCCGGCAGGGGUUCCGCCGACGGGGUUGCAGGGCCGCGCAUCCGGGGGCUGCCGCCCCCGGGCGCAGGUCCGGCUGGGGAGCGGAACGGCAUGGGAGGGCCGGCCGCAGCGGGUGACAGCCCCGUACGCGAACCCAGACCGGACGGCGCGACGCGGUCCCUGAGUAGGGCCGGGCACGUGAAACCCGGUCCGAACCUGGGUGGACCACCAUCCAAGCCUGAGUACUACCCUGUGACCGAUAGCGCACCAGUACCGUGAGGGAAAGGUGAAAAGCACCCCGGGAGGGGAGUGAAACAGUACCUGAAACCGUGCGCCCACGAGCAGUCGGAGCACCUAUAUGGUGUGACGGCGUGCCUUUUGUAGAAUGAGCCAGCGAGUCGCUGGCGCGGGGCGAGGUUAACCGAAAGGGAGCCGGAGCGAAAGCGAGCCUUAACAGGGCGACUUGAGUCCCGCGCCGCGGACGCGAAGCCGGGUGAGCUAUCCGUGGGCAGGCUGAAGCGGGGGUAAGACCCCGUGGAGGGCCGAACGCACGUCGGUUGAAAACGGCGGCGAUGACCUGCGGAUAGGGGUGAAAGGCCAAUCAAACCCGGAGAUAUCUCGUUCUCCCCGAAAUAGCUUUAGGGCUAGCGUCGCGCGUUCACCGCCGGAGGUAGAGCACCGGAUGGACGAGGGGGCUUCGCCGCCUACCGAAUCCAACCGAACUCCGAAUGCCGGCGGCCCAGAGCGCGGCAGUCAGAGCAUGUGGGCUAAGCUGUGUGCUCGAGAGGGAAACAGCCCGGACCGCCCGCUAAGGUCCCCAAGUUCCAGCCGAGUGGCAAAGGAUGUGCGUCCGCCCAGACAACCAGGAUGUUGGCUUAGAAGCAGCCAUGCAUUCAAAGAGUGCGUAACAGCUCACUGGUCGAGUGGACAUGCGCCGACAAUACACGGGGCUAAGCUGGACACCGAAGCGGCGGGAUUUU
Molecule: ribosomal RNA, 1250 nt
Filed under: Collinsella sp. AF16-8
Lineage: Bacteria; Bacillati; Actinomycetota; Coriobacteriia; Coriobacteriales; Coriobacteriaceae
Description: partial 23S ribosomal RNA
Rfam family: Bacterial large subunit ribosomal RNA
Source: RNAcentral